RNAcentral lists this ribosomal RNA (304 nucleotides) under Salmonella enterica. Its description in RNAcentral is "partial 23S ribosomal RNA". It matches the Rfam family "Bacterial large subunit ribosomal RNA", at positions 1293 to 1598 of the family's 2925-position model. The record is from RNAcentral. Lineage: Bacteria; Pseudomonadati; Pseudomonadota; Gammaproteobacteria; Enterobacterales; Enterobacteriaceae.
AAUGCUGACAUAAGUAACGAUAAAGCGGGUGAAAAGCCCGCUCGCCGGAAGACCAAGGGUUCCUGUCCAACGUUAAUCGGGGCAGGGUGAGUCGACCCCUAAGGCGAGGCCGAAAGGCGUAGUCGAUGGGAAACGGGUUAAUAUUCCCGUACUUGGUGUUACUGCGAAGGGGGGACGGAGAAGGCUAUGUUGGCCGGGCGACGGUUGUCCCGGUUUAAGCGUGUAGGUGUGUGUUCCAGGUAAAUCCGGUUCACUUUAACACUGAGGCGUGACGACGAGGCACUACGGUGCUGAAGCAACAAAU